This is a long non-coding RNA of Lotus japonicus, 4408 nucleotides long. RefSeq lists it as uncharacterized. The record is from RefSeq and is a predicted model, not a curated record. Lineage: Eukaryota; Viridiplantae; Streptophyta; Magnoliopsida; Fabales; Fabaceae. The transcript has 4 exons.
AGAAAACCAUGAUUUGCUCUUACAGCCAGGGAGGGCAAACAAACAUAUAAGCCAACUAUCUUAUUCUCUUUUGCUAAAAGCAUAUGAUCAAUUGCAAGCAAGCAUGAUCUAAAAAGGGUCCUAGUUAAAAACAAUAAUUAAUGCUAGAAAGGAAGGGUACAAAAUUAAAAGAGUUGUUUGAGAUGUGUUUCAUUUGUGUGUGUGUGUGAAGAAUAUUUCAGGUGCAUGCGCAAAGACACAAGAGGUUGAUUUUUAUUGAGUACAAACUAAGCAUGACAAACCCUAAAGUAAGUGUUGCUCCCCCUUGACAUCAUUCCACUCACCUUCUUCACCUUAAUUCUCAUCCCGAGGCAAAACCUACCAGUAUAUACAUUCAUUCUCUGCUCCUCAAACAUCCUCACUUCACCUCUCAUCUUCUAAACCCUUUCAAAAACCUCCCUCUGUUCAUGAAGCUUCAGUGUUUGUAUUAAUUCCUAUGAGAAGAUUUUAUUUUUCUUACACUUAUUGAUCCUGCAUCAUUUCAUAAAUAAUAACCAUUCCUUCUUAUGUUGCUAUAUAUAUAUGGUCUAUUAAUUGAGGCUUGCAUGAGAAGCAAUAGUGUUGUAGGGUGGAUUAGAACCAAUAUCAAUAAUGUUCAAGCUUUAUGUAUUGUAGGGAUAUAAGGACAAAUUAGCAAAGGCAAUAAAACACCCCAUGCCUCUGUCUUUUGUCUAUUUUCCAGUUUUUGGUAGAGUAUGUGGAGAACCCACUUCUAUUUGCUUGGAAUAUAAAUCUAUUUAAGGGUUUUGUGCUUUCCACUUUAUGAGUUUUCAUAUAGGCAUGCUGCUAGUGCAUAUAUGGUUGCACCAGAAUUAGUGCAUUGGUAUUUGAUAGUGACUCCUCCUAUCCCAUCAAUUGGAGAGUUUAAAUUAGUGAUAUUGUUCCUCAUAUCAUAUCAUCACCCUCUUCCUGAUCCAGCUCCACCACCAUGGUUUGUAUUUUCAUAUAAUUCAUGCUUUACUUGCAAAAUGGACACUCAAUAAUUGUGAUUAGGUGCACAAUGGGACCAUUUGGGAUAUUGUUUAAUGUUGAAAGUUGAAACUACUUUUUCUUCCUUUUUGGUAGAUAGUCUAUUGGUGAGGUAGCCAUGAAAACCACUUGAAAUUUUCUUCCAACUCUCAACCCUACAUAACAUGGAUCUUUGUCAGGUCAUAUCCAUGGUGGAAUAUAUAUUGAUUGAUCUGAUCAUCAGCUUUCGUUCUGUACUAUGCUAAGAGAGAAUAUUGAUGAUGAUGAUAAUGUUUGGGAUUUGGGAAGCAGAGAAAGCGAUGUUGGUGAGGUUCAAUCUGAAGACGGAUUUACAUGAAGAAGCAGUAAAAUACGAUCUCAGAUUGAGCCGCGCCAAUAUCACUUUUCUUAUUCAUGAGCUCUGCCUCUGUUGCUAGCUUUCCAACUCAUAUCCCAACUCAUUAGAUUCUUCUCUUGUCAGAAUAAUAUUCCCAAUAUUGAAUGGUGGAUCUUAUUAUAUCAUAACAAAUUAACAUUUCCCUCUUGGUUGGGGCAAUCUUUGAAUUCAUGAAACUAUAUGGUGCUAUGGAAGCUCAAGACAAAUGCAGUAGGAAUGUGAUUGACACAUAAAUAUUCUCAUGGUACAAAGGUGAUAUGACAGGAAGUAUGGGACAAAAGUUAAAUGAGAGAAGAGGCUGUGAUCAGCACUGUAGCCAUGCAUAUGUAUACCAAGUCCAGAUUCAUCAUAAAAAAAACUCUUUCCUUCUUUAUAUUCAUUUUGGGCACUACUCUCUAUGAAGGUCUUCUUAAACAUGUUGCUGUGUUUGAAGGCAAAAAAAAAGCUCGUCUUCUCACCUAAAUCAAUGCAAUAUUCUUCUCUGAUCUCUGGUAUGUUAUCAUGUCACCUAAAUCAAUGCAACUUUAGUUUGUCAAUGAUCAGCACCUAUGUUAGCAUGUCUACCAGGUUCUUGCUUCCCACAAUCUUCUUCAAUGUUAGCACCUCUCCGUAAAGCAAAGAUUUUAUGAAGUGGUAACUUAUAUCAAUGUCUUUUGUCCUAGAGUAGAAUGUUGAAUUCUUUACAAAAUGUACUAAACUUUCACUAUUACUUCGCAAAACACUUCAUCCCUAGUUGAUUCACAACUCUAUAUAUCAACAAUCCUUGAAGUUAUAUCAACUCUUUACUAGCUUAUGUUACUGCUGCAUACUCAACCUUUAUAGAGGAUAAAAGCAAUCUUUUGUAUUCGCAACAUCCAACUGACAGGUGUAGUACCAAUAGUGAAAAUGUAACCGGUGGUGCUUCUUCAAUGAUCGACUUCACCUCCAAAGUCUUCGUCUACGUAGCCUUGUAAACACUUCUUUGCAGUGCCUAGUAUCCUUAAAGUCCACUUGACUGUUUCCCAAAGAGCAUCGAUUGGAUUUGCCAAAACCUGCUUACAACUCCACCGUAUGACCAAUGUUUGGUCUAGUACAAAACAUUGCAUACAUAAAACUUUCGGUGACUGAAGCAUACAUAAUCUUAGCCAUGUAGUCUCUUUCUUCCUCCGUCUAAGGGGACUGGUCCUUGAAUAGGUGAAAAUGACUGGUCAAAGGUGUGUUAGCUGGCUUGGCCUUACCCAUGUUGAAUCUUUUCAAAACACAAUUGAUGUAUUUCGCCAGGCAUAACUGCAAAGUUCCUCUUUGCUUAUCUCUCGUGAUUUACAUUCCAAGAAUCUUCUUUGCUGGAUUCAAGUCUUUCAUGUCAAAUUAUUUUGACAUCGACAUCUUCAAUUAUUUUUUAUCACGUUCAUAUCUAAAGAUGCUACUAACGUAUCAUCAACAUAAAAAAGCAAAAUGGUAUAAAUGGACUUAUAUCUCAUGAAGAAAUAAUAAGUGUGUAACACAUGUUUGAUAGCCAAACUUAAGGGAUUUAAAUUACGUAUCUUCUUUUCUUUGCCCUAUUCCCUAAUUCGUCAAUCAAUCAAUCGACUUUGAUACACACUUAUUGUCUCUUCAACAUAUUUUUACCAACUUUUUCUUUUAAUCAAUGUUUUUUUUACACCACUCAUCGUAUCUCUCACUUAUCUCUUCUAUUCAAAUAGGUAGAGGUAAAAUUGAGGUGAGUAUGAAUUAUUAUCCAAAUAUAAACAUUAUGUUGGCACUAGAAAAUAUAAAAUAUUCGGCUAAUGGGUCGGUUAAGUGCUGAUGGAUUGGCGACUGAAUAUUUUAUUUAAGUUUUUCAAAUAUAAAUAUAGUUUUAGUUAGCUGAGUCUCAAUGUGCUAAUUGAUCAUAGAGUACUACUAACUAUAUGAACUAAUUUGAAUUUUCUCAACAGUGUAGUUACUUGAAGUUAGCUGAGUCAAAAUGUGCUGAUAAACGGGCUGUUAAUAAACUAAUUUGGACUUUUAAAUUUGGCCACCUGAGACACAAUGUGCUGAUGAAUCGUCCGUUAGUCAAUUUAUUCAAACUUUGUGACUUAGGCAAGUGAUGAUUUGACUGUAAAAUGUAGAGGGUUGUUAGUCUAAUUUCGUUACUUUAGUAAAAAAAACCAAGAAAAAGCAGUGUGAGCCAGAUUAGAUCCUUAACAUUUUUCUUCUAAUUUUCUAUAGGAAAAAAAUGGAGUACUAAUGGAUCAUUAUCUUGUCAACAUAGUUGCUCAUCAUCAUGAAUGUGAUGUGGGAUCUGCGGUCCAUUACCAGCCCAUCAUAUUCAUGUACGUGGGCUUUUCCAUUUGUAUGCUAUGAAGACUAUGAUGUGUGGUCACUACUUGCUACCUGAUAUACAACAUUCUGCUAGGGGUUUUGGCGUGCAUAAUGAUAUCUAGAAGAUCAGAGUACUCAUACAAAAACUAACAGUCAAAGUUGAACAAUAUGCAAGUAGAUGUCAGACUUUAAACUGCAGGAGAGAAGGAUACAUGUUAUAUGAAGAAAGGGGAAAUGGGGAAGGAGAUAUAUAGAAUGUGCAAACAUGAUGAUGUGUUUGUCCAUAAACUCUGAGACAGAGAAACAGUCACUAACUUGUGGUGUGGUAAUUAACCAAAUCCAAAUUAUGACUUCCAUAACCUAAAUCUGAAUUUGAAUUUAAUCCUGACUUCUUUUCCUGCAGCCAUUUUUUAGCCUCCAUAAGUUCAUAACAACAAUACUUAUUCAAAGAGCCAGUCUCGAUGCAACGGUAAGGUUGCUGCCACGGCUUUGCAAGCACAAGUUCGAGCUGUGGAAUCAACAUACAUUAGAUCACAAAGAGGAUCUAACCCCUAACAGGACCUCGCGCAUAACUGGAGCAUUAUAGAUUUAUAGUAACAAGUUUUCCCUUUGUCUUUUUUUUUAACAACAGCACUCAUUAAAGUUUACAUUGUUGUUGGAGGAAGAUUUUGAAGUUAACACAUGCUGUCAAGUCUUGCUACACAUUUAAAAAUUAGCCAAUGGCAAGAAUGCUUUCUGUGA